This 819-nucleotide ribosomal RNA is filed under the name uncultured bacterium. Its description in RNAcentral is "bacterial SSU rRNA". It matches the Rfam family "Bacterial small subunit ribosomal RNA", at positions 625 to 1444 of the family's 1533-position model. The record is from RNAcentral.
UCUGGAAACUNUCUGACUUGAGUGCAGAAGGGGAGAGUGGAAUUCCAUGUGUAGCGGUGAAAUGCGUAGAUAUAUGGAGGANCACCAGUGGCGAAAGCGGCUCUCUGGUCUGUCACUGACGCUGAGGCUCGAAAGCGUGGGUAGCGAACAGGAUUAGAUACCCUGGUAGUCCACGCCGUAAACGAUGAGUGCUAGGUGUUAGGCCCUUUCCGGGGCUUAGUGCCGGAGCUAACGCAAUAAGCACUCCGCCUGGGGAGUACGACCGCAAGGUUGAAACUCAAAGGAAUUGACGGGGGCCCGCACAAGCGGUGGAGCAUGUGGUUUAAUUCGAAGCAACGCGAAGAACCUUACCAGGUCUUGACAUCCCGAUGCUAUUCUUAGAGAUAGGAAGUUACUUCGGUACAUCGGAGACAGGUGGUGCAUGGUUGUCGUCAGCUCGUGUCGUGAGAUGUUGGGUUAAGUCCCGCAACGAGCGCAACCCUUAUUGUUAGUUGCCAUCAUUAAGUUGGGCACUCUAGCGAGACUGCCGGUAAUAAACCGGAGGAAGGUGGGGAUGACGUCAAAUCAUCAUGCCCCUUAUGACCUGGGCUACACACGUGCUACAAUGGUCGGUACAACGAGUUGCGAGCCGGUGACGGCAAGCUAAUCUCUGAAAGCCGAUCUCAGUUCGGAUUGGAGGCUGCAACUCGCCUCCAUGAAGUCGGAAUCGCUAGUAAUCGCGGAUCAGCACGCCGCGGUGAAUACGUUCCCGGGCCUUGUACACACCGCCCGUCACACCACGAGAGUUUGUAACACCCGAAGUCGGUGAGGUAACCUUUU